ACAAAAAAAGGUGUGGCGCGCACCGUCACAUGGCACUCCCUGCUCCGCCACGUAUGGCUGCCACGCUCCCUUCGUCCGCCGUAGCACCGGCGCUGCUCCUCCGCCGCCACACCGGCGCUUCCCUAUCCUCCCGCUGCCGCCGGCGUUGGCAGCGCCCGGCUGCCAGACGGCGCGAAGGCCCCGGAGCUCCGCUGGGGAUGCGGGGCGCGCGGGAGCUGCCGCCAGCAGCGCCUGACCGAUGCAGUGGCGCGCGCGGAGCCACUCCGGCGGCGGCGGCGGCGGGGGAGGCGCCGUACAGAGGCAGCGAGGCGCAGGGGUCGCUCUGGAUGGUCUUGCUCGCCACCGCGGUGGUCGUGUGCGGCUCCCUCGAGUUCGGCACCUGUGUCGGGUAUUCGGCACCUGCUCAAGCCGGAAUUGUAGGCGACAUUGGACUGUCUAACUCCGAGUAUGGUGUCUUUGCAUCUGUCUUGGCGAUUGGAGCAAUGAUUGGUGCUCUGACUAGCGGCCGUCUGGCAGACGUACUUGGACGCAAAAUGACCAUGAGGUUUGCGGCAGUUGUAGGCAUUUUUGGUUGGCUUACUGUAUAUUUUGCCAAGGAUGCUAUAAUGCUCUAUGCUGGAAGAGUUCUGUUGGGCUACUGUACCGGAGUUCUUUCCUAUGUGGUGCCUGUGUUUAUAUCUGAAAUAGCACCAAAGGAUAUCCGAGGGGGCCUUGCAACCUCAAACCAGUUGUUCAUCUGUUUAGGGUGUUCAGCUGCUUACAUUAUUGGAGCACUUCUUUCAUGGCGCUCUUUGGUUGUAGUAGGAUUAGUACCUUGUGUGGUCCUACUUGUGGGGCUUUUCUUCAUUCCAGAGUCUCCAAGGUGGCUGGCCAACAUAGGGAGAGAGAAAGAGUUCCAUGCUUCAUUACAGAAGUUUAGGGGGAAAGAUUAUGACAUUUCUGAAGAGGCUACUGAGAUCAAAGGCUAUAUAGAAUCAAAUCAUAGAUUACCUAAGGCAAGGAUUCAAGAUUUGUUUCAGAGAGAAAAUAUUUAUGCUGUCACGGUUGGUGUCAGUCUGAUGAUUUUUCAGCAACUUGGAGGAAUAAAUGCCUUAGGCUUCUAUACAAGCUAUAUCUUUUCCUCCGCAGGGUUUUCUGGAAAACUCGGCAUCACCUUGAUUGGCAUUAUUCAGAUUCCAAUCACAUUGGUUGGGGCCCUUCUCAUGGAUAGGAGUGGAAGAAGAGCUCUUCUUUUGGUCUCUUCAUCUGGAACAUUUCUUGGCUGCUUUCUAACUGGGUUCUCAUUCUAUUUUAAGGCACAAGGACUGUACUCACAGUUGGUUCCUUCUUUGGCCCUUUGUGGCAUAUUGGUAAAAUUACAAUAACUGAAACUCCUAUAUCUAUGUAAUUUAAAUGCUAAUUUAUCUAUUCCAUGACUUCAAGCUAAUUCUAAGAGAAUCUCUAGAAAGACCGCUAAUCGGGAUCAACACUGUACAUUCUGAAUUGAUACGCAGUCCUCCUGCGUGUUCGAGAAAAAAACAUUGUACAUUCUGAAAUACUGAAAUGGAUCCUUUCUGAAAAUAACACCAUUGAACUUUUGGAGACUUUACACUGUGAUCCUUCUUUCUAAUAAAAUAGGUAUAUUACGCAGCAUACUCAGUUGGAAUGGGACCAGUUCCUUGGGUUAUCAUGUCUGAGAUAUUCUCAAUCAACAUGAAAGCAAUAGCUGGAGGCUUGGUAACCCUGGUCAGUUGGAUUGGUUCCUUUGCGAUUUCUUACUCAUUCAACUUCCUUAUGGGUUGGAACCCCGCAGGUACGUUCUUUUUGUUCUCUGCAGCGAGCUUGGUCACUGUUUUGUUCGUGGCAAAGCUAGUACCAGAAACUAAAGGGAGAACACUGGAAGAGAUCCAAGCAUCGCUCCAAGCCAGCACGUGAGAGACUGAUGAAGGACGUACGCACGCACCUUACCCACAAGGGAUUCAAAACAUUGUGGUAAAUACUCACCUCUUGUAAAUCGUUACCCGCAACGGAUUCAAAGCAUUGUGAUGAAUACUCACCUCUUGUAAAUUCUCGCCUCGUGUUAAAUUCUUGUGAUCUGGUGAAGGAUGUUUUUACUAAUUUCACCUCAUGUGAAUUCUUCUUCAUUGUACCUUUUCAAAAUAUAAGAUUGUUUGACUAGGUACGGUCUUUAAGGUCAUA
Molecule: RNA transcript, 2178 nt
Organism: Panicum hallii
Lineage: Eukaryota; Viridiplantae; Streptophyta; Magnoliopsida; Poales; Poaceae
Gene name: sugar transporter ERD6-like 16
Exons: 17
Source: RefSeq, a predicted model, not a curated record